UCCAUAACACCAUUACUACCAGGAGUCAACAGUGGCCAAGUCUAUAAAGCUCUGUGAGAACAAGGAACGUAUCUGUCUUGCUCCUUGUAAUCCCUAGUAGCUGUUCUUGGGACACAGAAAGGAAUUUAGUAACUCCCUGUUUCAUCAUAUUGAACUGGGGCAGUAUGGAACACUGCUGACAGGCUGCUGCUGCUGCUGCUGCCAAAUCAAAUGUUUGGCCAAGGACAAUUCCAUACAUUCCUUGGAAGGAGGCAAGAUGGGUGAUAGGAAGAACCUGAACACUGGUUGAGAAACGUGGGCUCUGGCUCUAUUAUCAUCAAUCCUAAACUGAGCUGCUUCCUAUUAUAUUCGUUUCAUUACCUAGACUACAGGACCUCAAGCUUUCUUCAAGUAAAUACGGUAUCUAUGGGAGGCAGAGUCUAAGAUGCCCCCAAAGAUCCUGGUACACCUGAUACUCACACCCUUAUGUAGUGCCCUUUCCCGAUGAACCAGGGUUGUGUGUGUGACCAACAGAAUAAAGCAAAAGGGAUGGUAUGUCGCUUCUGGGAUUAGGUGAUAACAGAUGUUGUGGCUUCUAUCUUGGUCAGCUGGCAUGUUUCUGUCUGUGUUUCUAGGACCACUAGCUCUGGGGGAAGCCAGCUGCUAUGCUGCAAACAGUCCUAGGGAGAGGACAAUGUGGCAGGAAAUAGGCCACCUGCCAACAGCCACCUGAAUGAGCUCAGAAGCAGAUCUUCUGGCCUGCUCAGCUUCAGAUGAAUGCAGCCUCAUGAAAGACCCUGAGACAAAACCACCCAGGGACAGAGUCUAUGUUGCCCAGUGGGGCUAUCCACAGGUGUAAUCAUAGCUCACUGCAGCCUCGAACUCCUGACCUCAAGUGAUCCUGCCUCUUCAGCCUCCCGAGUAGCUGGGACUACAGGUGCAUGCCACUGUUCAUGAGUUUUACAGACUUUUACAUUUUAACUUUUGACUCUUUUGUAAUUAACACAACACAAAUACAUUGUACAGCUGCAUAAAAAUUAUUUUCUUUAUACUCAUUCUGUAAGCUUUUUUCUAUUAAUUUUUCUUUUAAAACUUUUUUUUUCCUUAAACACUAAGACAGAAACACACACAUUAGCCUAGGCCUACUCAGGAUCUUCAAUAUCACUGUCUUCCCUUCUACAUCUUGUCCCACUGGAAGGCCUUCAGGGGCAAUAACAUGUGAUAACAAUGUUUUCUUCAGGAAUACCUCCUGAAAGACCUGCCGGAAGCUGUUUCACAAUUAACUUUAUUUUUUGGUUAAGUAGGAGUACUCUUUAAAAUAAUGACAGGCAGUGGCUCAUGCCUGUAAUACCAACAUUUUGGGAGACCGAGGUGGAAGGACUGCUGGAGCCCAGGAGUUGAAGAUCUGCCUGGGCAACACAGUGGGACCCCAUCUCAACAAAAAAUUUAAAAAGCCAGGCAUGGUGGUACAUACCUGUGGUCCCAGCUACUUGGAAGCUGAGGUGGGAGGACUGCAUGAGCCCAGGAAAUCAAGCCUGCAGUGAGCUGUGAUUACACCACUGCACUCCAGCAUGAAUGACAGAGCGAGACCCCAUUUCCAAAAUAAAUAAAUAAAAAUUUUUUAAAUGAUAAAAAGUACAGUAAAUACAAAAACCAGUAACAUAGUUGUUUAUUAUCCCUAUCAAGCACUGUAUAUGGUACGUAAUUGUAUGUGUGAUACUUUUAUAGAAUUAGCAGUGCAGUAGGUUUACACCAACAUCUCCACAAACACAUAAGUAAUACACUGCCCUAGGACAUUAAGAUGACCCCUACUUCACCAGGCAAGAGGAAUUUUUCAGUUCCAUUAUAAUCUUAUGGGACCACCAUUAUAUAGGCAGUUCAUCACUGACCAAAAUAUGGUUAUGCAGUGUAUGACUAAACUUGUCCUUUAGCAGUUAAAUGAAACUUGGAGUACACCGAGUUUAAAAAUCUAACACUCAAAAUAUUUGAAGUUUGUUAAAAUGGUCAUUUUGGAAAUAAGCUAAUUAUAAUGAAUAAAUCUUACACUAAAUAUAUUGUAACUGUAUUAGUCCGUUUGGUGUUGCUAUAAAGGAAUAUCUGAGACAGGGUAAUUUAUAAAGAGGUUUAUUUUAGCUCACAGUUCUGCAGACUGCACAAGCAGCACAGUGCCAGCAUCUGCUUCUGGUGGGGCCUCAGGAAGCUUUUACUCACUGUGAAAGGUGAAGGGGGACCAAGAGUGUCACAUGGUGAGAGAGGAAGCAAGACAAAGAAGAGCAAGAGAGAGAUGCCAGGCUCUUUUACACAACCAGAUCUCACAUUGAACUCUUUACCAUGAGAUGGCACCAAGUCACUCAUGAGGGAUUCGUCUCCAUGACCCAAACACCUCCGAGUAGGCCCCACCUCAAACACUGGGGAUGAAAUUUUCACAUGAGAUUUGGAGGGGACAAACACCCAAACUACAUCAAUAACUAGAAAUACUCUGUGAAAUAAGUUGUUACCAGUUCCCUACUAACUCGUCAAGUUACAUUCAGUAUGGUAUUAAGAGAAAUUCAACCCAAUCAGCCAAACAGGAGUGAGGUGAUUUUCACAUUAUUGGUAGGCAUAAAAACUGAGUUUCUUUAGCCA
This 2604-nucleotide long non-coding RNA is filed under the name Homo sapiens (human). Its description in RNAcentral is "HSALNT0107307". The record is from RNAcentral. Lineage: Eukaryota; Metazoa; Chordata; Mammalia; Primates; Hominidae.